Molecule: ribosomal RNA, 500 nt
Filed under: uncultured bacterium
Lineage: Bacteria
Description: partial 16S ribosomal RNA
Rfam family: Bacterial small subunit ribosomal RNA
Source: RNAcentral
AUUGAACGCUGGCGGCAUGCCUUACACAUGCAAGUCGAACGGUAACGGGUCCUUCGGGAUGCCGACGAGUGGCGAACGGGUGAGUAGUAUAUCGGAACGUGCCCAGUAGUGGGGGAUAACUGCUCGAAAGAGCAGCUAAGAACGCAUACGACCUGAGGGUGAAAGGGGGGGAGCGCACGACCUCUCGCUAUUGGAGCGGCCGAUAUCAGAUUAGCUAGUUGGUGGGGUAAAGGCCUACCAAGGCAACGAUCUGUAGUUGGUCUGGGAGGACGACCAGCCACACUGGGACUGAGACACGGCCCAGACUCCUACGGGAGGCAGCGGUGGGGAAUUGUGGACAAUGGGCGCAAGCCUGAUCCAGCAAUGCCGCGUGCAGGGAGAAGGCCUUCGGGUUGUAAACUGCUUUUGUCAGGGAAGAAAUCUUCUGGGCUAAUACCCCGGGAAGAUGACGGUACCUGAAGAAUAAGCACCGGCUAACUACGUGCCAGCCGCCGCAGUAA